RNAcentral lists this long non-coding RNA (1597 nucleotides) under Nicotiana tabacum (common tobacco). RNAcentral's name for it is "long non-coding RNA (NTAB_LNC005734)". Lineage: Eukaryota; Viridiplantae; Streptophyta; Magnoliopsida; Solanales; Solanaceae. The record is from RNAcentral.
UCGGAUUCAACAGUUCAUAACAGAACAAAAUUAACAUAAACAACAGUUCAAUUCAACAUAGUUCUAAUUCUUGUGAACAUCAGUCCUAAAUCCACAUAGUUCUUGGUCAUCUCGAUAGUUCUAAUUCUUAUGAACAUAGUUCUCGAACAUCAGUCCUAAUCGACAUACACAUAGUUAAUAAUUAUAAUUCAACAAGAAGAGGAAAGCUGCAAAUCCUAAUUCUUGUGAUAGAAUCCAUUACAUAAGCAAAACACAAUUUUCAUAACAAAACAAAAUUAACUGAAAUCUCAAAUAGAUGUCUAAUGAACUGAAAUCCUCAACCAGAAUUCUUUAAUAGACUACACAAAAGAGUUCCAAGUUCCAACUCUAUGGCCAUCGCAUUCAAUCCUGAUUCCUGGCACGCUUUCAAGUUCUGCAACACUGCACUUGUCAAAAAUGAGAGGAUCAGUAAAUCACAGCCCUAAGUAAAUGAGAGAAACAGUGGUACAAGCAAUUUCCACGUAGCAGCCUAAUGCAUCAGCCUAAUACUUGACAGAACAUUUCUCAAACUUCAAACACACUACAAUUGUACAACAGAACAAAGUAUGCAAGCAUGUUGCAAUAUCCUUUCCAACAGAACAAAGUAUCAAUUUGGAAGAAAUACCUUAGCAAAUGACAUAUUAGCAAAUGCCUCUUUUGGCUACUCUUGCUCUAGCAUUUCAAACACUUGGUGUGGUAUAUGGUGAUACGGGCACAAGCCCUUUAUAUGUUUUCUCAGAUGUAUUCAGCAAAGUCCACAUAUUACCAUACAAAUAGGAAAGUAGCAUAUACAUUUUUUUGGAUAAUAUUCUCAUAUUACCAUACAAAGAUUUCGCAAAUGAAACAAAUCAAAGUAAUUCCUUCAAGUAAACAUAAAUGGUUAGUAAUCUGCCACCAAAAGCUUACAAGAGCACCACUUUCACCACAUUUUACAAGAGCUUGAACUUUAUUCACCAUCUCUACCUCAUCUUCCAUCUACGAAACAAAACAAAAAAUUAAAAGUAAAAUCAAAUUCAAAAUAGUAGUAGUAUGGUCUAUUUCUGUUUAAGAAAGUCAAGAGUGAAACCCCCAAUUUAUUUCAUCAAUUUUAUCCAAGAAAUAAAAGAGAACAAACACUUCCUUUAAGCUCUAAGAAAGGGGGAGAAAGAGAGAGAGAACAAGAAAGAAGGAGUGAGUCUUAGUGUCUUACCAGUGCAGCCGCCAGUCGCCGGAAUACAGAGAAGAGAUAGAGGAAGUGACGAGCAUGAGCAUCUUGAGGCGUGAAGUGAGCAGCAGUCUCUGGGUGUGGGUGGAGUCUGAGUCUCAGAUAAGGCUGUGACUUGUGAGAAAAGAACGAGAAUGAAAUAAGACCUAACCCUAAAAAUAAAAUUAGUAUUUAUACUUCCCCUAAUAAAUUCGGAUUUCGGAUCAGAUCGAGUUCAAACUAUACAAAUCCGAAUCCAAUCCGAAAAUCCGAAAUUUUAAUAAAUAAUAAAUCAAAUCCGAAUCCGAUCCAAAUAUCCGAAAUCCGAAAUUGAGCGGAUCGGUUCGAAUUUCGGAUAUCCGAUCCAAAUGCACAGCCCUAGUGUCCUUGAUCGCU